RNAcentral lists this transfer RNA (72 nucleotides) under Saccoglossus kowalevskii. Its description in RNAcentral is "tRNA-Pro". It matches the Rfam family "tRNA". Rfam says of the family: Transfer RNA (tRNA) molecules are approximately 80 nucleotides in length. Their secondary structure includes four short double-helical elements and three loops (D, anti-codon, and T loops). Further hydrogen bonds mediate the characteristic L-shaped molecular structure. tRNAs have two regions of fundamental functional importance: the anti-codon, which is responsible for specific mRNA codon recognition, and the 3' end, to which the tRNAs corresponding amino acid is attached (by aminoacyl-tRNA synthetases). tRNAs cope with the degeneracy of the genetic code in two manners: having more than one tRNA (with a specific anti-codon) for a particular amino acid; and 'wobble' base-pairing, i.e. permitting non-standard base-pairing at the 3rd anti-codon position. Lineage: Eukaryota; Metazoa; Hemichordata; Enteropneusta; Harrimaniidae. The record is from RNAcentral.
GGCUUGUUGGUCUAGUGGUACGAUUCUUGUUUCGGGUACAGGAGGUCCCGGGUUCAAACCCCGGACAAGCCC